Molecule: ribosomal RNA, 472 nt
Filed under: uncultured bacterium
Lineage: Bacteria
Description: SSU rRNA
Rfam family: Bacterial small subunit ribosomal RNA
Source: RNAcentral
AGGACGAACGCUGGCGGCGUGCUUAACACAUGCAAGUCGAACGGUGAAGCCUUUCGGGGUGGAUCAGUGGCGAACGGGUGAGUAACACGUGGGUAACCUGCCCUCCACUCUGGGAUAACUCCGGGAAACCGGGGCUAAUACCGGAUAUGACCUGAGGCGGCAUCGCCUCGGGUGGAAAGUUUUUCGGUGGAGGAUGGACCCGCGGCCUAUCAGCUUGUUGGUGGGGUAAUGGCCUACCAAGGCGAUGACGGGUAGCCGGCCUGAGAGGGCGACCGGCCACACUGGGACUGAGACACGGCCCAGACUCCUACGGGAGGCAGCAGUGGGGAAUAUUGCACAAUGGGCGAAAGCCUGAUGCAGCGACGCCGCGUGAGGGAUGACGGCCUUCGGGUUGUAACCUCUUUCAGCAGGACGAAGCGCAAGUGACUGUACCUGCAGAAGAAGCACCGGCUAACUACGUGCCAGCAGCCGC